This 74-nucleotide transfer RNA is filed under the name Elusimicrobiota bacterium. RNAcentral describes it as "Elusimicrobia bacterium tRNA-Pro". It matches the Rfam family "tRNA". From Rfam's summary of the family: Transfer RNA (tRNA) molecules are approximately 80 nucleotides in length. Their secondary structure includes four short double-helical elements and three loops (D, anti-codon, and T loops). The record is from RNAcentral. Lineage: Bacteria; Pseudomonadati; Elusimicrobiota.
CGGGGUAUAGCUCAAUUGGCUAGAGCGCCUGCUUUGGGAGCAGGAGGCUGGAGGUUCAAGUCCUCUUACCCCGA